UAGGGAAUCUUCCACAAUGGGCGCAAGCCUGAUGGAGCAACACCGCGUGAGUGAAGAAGGGUUUCGGCUCGUAAAGCUCUGUUGUUGGAGAAGAACGUGCGUGAGAGUAACUGUUCACGCAGUGACGGUAUCCAACCAGAAAGUCACGGCUAACUACGUGCCAGCAGCCGCGGUAAUACGUAGGUGGCAAGCGUUAUCCGGAUUUAUUGGGCGUAAAGCGAGCGCAGGCGGUUGCUUAGGUCUGAUGUGAAAGCCUUCGGCUUAACCGAAGAAGGGCAUCGGAAACCGGGCGACUUGAGUGCAGAAGAGGACAGUGGAACUCCAUGUGUAGCGGUGGAAUGCGUAGAUAUAUGGAAGAACACCAGUGGCGAAGGCGGCUGUCUGGUCUGCAACUGACGCUGAGGCUCGAAAGCAUGGGUAGCGAACAGGAUUAGAUACCCUGGUAGUCCAUGCCGUAAACGAUGAGUGCUAGGUGUUGGAGGGUUUCCGCCCUUCAGUGCCGGAGCUAACGCAUUAAGCACUCCGCCUGGGGAGUACGACCGCAAGGUU
RNAcentral lists this ribosomal RNA (549 nucleotides) under uncultured bacterium. RNAcentral's name for it is "bacterial SSU rRNA". It matches the Rfam family "Bacterial small subunit ribosomal RNA", at positions 355 to 895 of the family's 1533-position model. The record is from RNAcentral.